AACGAACGCUGGCGGCAUGCCUAACACAUGCAAGUCGAACGAGACCUUCGGGACUAGUGGCGCAUGGGUGCGUAACGCGUGGGAAGCUGCCUUUAGGUUCGGAAUAACACAGAGACAUUUGAGCUAAUACCGGAUGAUGUCUUCGGACAAAAGAUUUAUCGACCUUAUAGGAGCCGGCGUUGGAUUAACCUGUUGGGGGGGUAAGAGCCUACCAAGGCGACGAUCCAUAGCUGGUCUGAGAGGAUGAUCAGCCACACUGGGACUGAGACACGGCCCAGACUCCUACGGGAGGCAGCAGUGGGGAAUAUUGGACAAUGGGCGAAAGCAUGAUCCACCAAUGCCGCGUGAGUGAUGAAGGCCUGAGGGUUGUAAAGCUCUUUUACCCGAGAUGAUAAUGACAGUAUCGGGAGAAUAAGCUCCGGCUAACUCCGUG
RNAcentral lists this ribosomal RNA (433 nucleotides) under uncultured bacterium. Its description in RNAcentral is "partial 16S ribosomal RNA". It matches the Rfam family "Bacterial small subunit ribosomal RNA", at positions 29 to 507 of the family's 1533-position model. The record is from RNAcentral.